GGUGGCUCAGUGGUAGAGUGCUUGCUUUGCAUGCAUGAAGCCCUGGGUUCAAUUCCUCAGCACCA
This is a non-coding RNA of Dipodomys ordii (Ord's kangaroo rat), 65 nucleotides long. The record is from Rfam. Lineage: Eukaryota; Metazoa; Chordata; Mammalia; Rodentia; Heteromyidae.